AUUGAACGCUGGCGGCAUGCUUUACACAUGCAAGUCGAACGGCAGCGCGGGGCAACCUGGCGGCGAGUGGCGAACGGGUGAGUAAUAUAUCGGAACGUACCCAGAAGUGGGGGAUAACGUAGCGAAAGUUACGCUAAUACCGCAUACGAUCUACGGAUGAAAGUAGGGGACCGCAAGGCCUUAUGCUUUUGGAGCGGCCGAUAUCUGAUUAGCUAGUUGGUGAGGUAAAGGCUCACCAAGGCGACGAUCAGUAGCUGGUCUGAGAGGACGACCAGCCACAGGGGAACGGCGACACGGUCCAGAGCCGGAGGGGAGGAAGCAGUGGGGAAGAUUGGACAGGGGGGGGAAGCAGGAUGGAGCAAUGCGGCGGGGGUGAAGAAGGUCUACGGCUUGUAAAGAAGGUUGGGGGGGGAGAAAGUGCGGGAAGGUAAUAACUUGAGGUAUUGACGGUACCAACAGAAUAAGCACCGGCUAACUUCGUG
RNAcentral lists this ribosomal RNA (482 nucleotides) under uncultured bacterium. RNAcentral's name for it is "partial 16S ribosomal RNA". It matches the Rfam family "Bacterial small subunit ribosomal RNA", at positions 29 to 507 of the family's 1533-position model. The record is from RNAcentral.